GGGGCGGUAGUUCAACCGGGAGAACACUUGGUUUGCACCCAGGAGAUCGGGGUUCAAGUCCCUGUCGCUCCACCA
Molecule: transfer RNA, 75 nt
Filed under: Gammaproteobacteria bacterium
Lineage: Bacteria; Pseudomonadati; Pseudomonadota; Gammaproteobacteria
Also listed under: 1 other name
Description: tRNA-Ala
Rfam family: tRNA
About the family: Transfer RNA (tRNA) molecules are approximately 80 nucleotides in length. Their secondary structure includes four short double-helical elements and three loops (D, anti-codon, and T loops).
Source: RNAcentral